RNAcentral lists this ribosomal RNA (380 nucleotides) under Escherichia coli. Its description in RNAcentral is "partial 23S ribosomal RNA". It matches the Rfam family "Bacterial large subunit ribosomal RNA", at positions 2551 to 2925 of the family's 2925-position model. The record is from RNAcentral. Lineage: Bacteria; Pseudomonadati; Pseudomonadota; Gammaproteobacteria; Enterobacterales; Enterobacteriaceae.
GGCUGAAGUAGGUCCCAAGGGUAUGGCUGUUCGCCAUUUAAAGUGGUACGCGAGCUGGGUUUAGAACGUCGUGAGACAGUUCGGUCCCUAUCUGCCGUGGGCGCUGGAGAAUUGAGGGGGGCUGCUCCUAGUACGAGAGGACCGGAGUGGACGCAUCACUGGUGUUCGGGUUGUCAUGCCAAUGGCACUGCCCGGUAGCUAAAUGCGGAAGAGAUAAGUGCUGAAAGCAUCUAAGCACGAAACUUGCCCCGAGAUGAGUUCUCCCUGACUCCUUGAGAGUCCUGAAGGAACGUUGAAGACGACGACGUUGAUAGGCCGGGUGUGUAAGCGCAGCGAUGCGUUGAGCUAACCGGUACUAAUGAACCGUGAGGCUUAACCUU